AUGAAAGCCAGAUAGUUUACACCUAAACUUUCUUCACUAAUGUGGUUGAUGUGUUGUUCUUUUUAUGUGUUGUUUUUGAAUUUACGGAAGCGGGUUUGCACUCAAUACCAUCGUCAGAUGCCAGUGACAGAAGGAAAAGCACUACCAUUUCUCAUUCAGCUCCACAAUUGGCUUUAUGGGUCUUCGUAUCACUAGAAUAGAAAUGAAGCUGCUGCUUUCUUUUCUUAUUUUUCUUUUUUUUUUUGUUUAAUCAGUUUUGUCUUUUCUUCAUUUCCUUUUUGAAUAUUUGAUUUGGCAAUGUUGGUGCAUCGAUUCUUAUAUGGUUUGUUAGUGAGACUCGGACAGUAAUGAUGUAUUAUGCGUCUUGUUUUCCCAACUCUUGAAAAUUGCUUUGUUCCAAAAAAAAAAA
Molecule: unclassified non-coding RNA, 409 nt
Filed under: Hevea brasiliensis (rubber tree)
Lineage: Eukaryota; Viridiplantae; Streptophyta; Magnoliopsida; Malpighiales; Euphorbiaceae
Source: RNAcentral